GUGAAUCAUCAAAUUUUUGAACGCAAAUUGCACUCUCUUCGGUGAGUAUGCCUGUUUGAGGGUCAGCCUAAAAAAAAUCUACAUAGUUGCUGUUACGCGGUAACAUUUGUCGGAAAUUGGGUCAUGUUAAACCUUUGGGUGUAAGCGGCUUAAAAUUUUCUUUACGAUUCCAAGAACGUGUCUAAGAUUUUAUAUUCUUAUACGUUUAAGGUAUUGAUCUUUAUUAGACGCGGUCGUUGUAUCGAACUUGGU
RNAcentral lists this unclassified non-coding RNA (252 nucleotides) under Glomus sp. Its description in RNAcentral is "partial contains 5.8S ribosomal RNA and internal transcribed spacer 2". The stretch from base 1 to 65 matches the Rfam family "5.8S ribosomal RNA", at positions 84 to 154 of the family's 154-position model. Lineage: Eukaryota; Fungi; Glomeromycota; Glomeromycetes; Glomerales; Glomeraceae. The record is from RNAcentral.